UACAGAGGGUGCGAGCGUUAUCCGGAAUUACUGGGCGUAAAGGGCGUGUAGGUGGUUUGUUAAGUUCGAUGUUAAAGCGUGAGGCUCAACCUCAUAAUGGCGUUGAAUACUGGCAAGCUAGACGACUGGAGAGGAAAGCAGAAUUACCAGUGUAGCGGUGAAAUGCGUAGAGAUUGGGAAGAACACCGGUGGCGAAGGCGCUCUGCUAUACCGUAACUGACGCUGAGGCACGAAAGUGUGGGGAUCAAACAGG
This 253-nucleotide ribosomal RNA is filed under the name uncultured bacterium. Its description in RNAcentral is "partial 16S ribosomal RNA". It matches the Rfam family "Bacterial small subunit ribosomal RNA", at positions 524 to 776 of the family's 1533-position model. The record is from RNAcentral.